GGGUGCAAGCGUUAAUCGGAAUUACUGGGCGUAAAGCGCACGCAGGCGGUUUGUUAAGUCAGAUGUGAAAUCCCCGGGCUCAACCUGGGAACUGCAUCUGAUACUGGCAAGCUUGAGUCUCGUAGAGGGGGGUAGAAUUCCAGGUGUAGCGGUGAAAUGCGUAGAGAUCUGGAGGAAUACCGGUGGCGAAGGCGGCCCCCUGGACGAAGACUGACGCUCAGGUGCGAAAGCGUGGGGAGCAAACAGGAUUAGAUACCCUGGUAGUCCACGCCGUAAACGAUGUCGACUUGGAGGUUGUGCCCUUGAGGCGUGGCUUCCGGAGCUAACGCGUUAAGUCGACCGCCUGGGGAGUACGGCCGCAAGGUUAAAACUCAAAUGAAUUGACGGGGGCCCGCACAAGCGGUGGAGCAUGUGGUUUAAUUCGAUGCAACGCGAAGAACC
RNAcentral lists this ribosomal RNA (441 nucleotides) under Escherichia coli. RNAcentral's name for it is "bacterial SSU rRNA". It matches the Rfam family "Bacterial small subunit ribosomal RNA", at positions 530 to 970 of the family's 1533-position model. Lineage: Bacteria; Pseudomonadati; Pseudomonadota; Gammaproteobacteria; Enterobacterales; Enterobacteriaceae. The record is from RNAcentral.